GCCCAAGUGGUCGAGUGGCUAGACACUGCUCUGCAAAAGCAGGUACACUGGUUCGAAUCCAGUCUUGGGCUCCA
This 74-nucleotide transfer RNA is filed under the name Chryseobacterium sp. RNAcentral describes it as "tRNA-Cys". It matches the Rfam family "tRNA". Rfam says of the family: Transfer RNA (tRNA) molecules are approximately 80 nucleotides in length. Their secondary structure includes four short double-helical elements and three loops (D, anti-codon, and T loops). Lineage: Bacteria; Pseudomonadati; Bacteroidota; Flavobacteriia; Flavobacteriales; Weeksellaceae. The record is from RNAcentral.